This 2173-nucleotide ribosomal RNA is filed under the name Shigella flexneri. Its description in RNAcentral is "bacterial LSU rRNA". It matches the Rfam family "Bacterial large subunit ribosomal RNA", at positions 1 to 2190 of the family's 2925-position model. Lineage: Bacteria; Pseudomonadati; Pseudomonadota; Gammaproteobacteria; Enterobacterales; Enterobacteriaceae. The record is from RNAcentral.
GGGUUGUGAGGUUAAGCGACUAAGCGUACACGGUGGAUGCCCUGGCAGUCAGAGGCGAUGAAGGACGUGCUAAUCUGCGAUAAGCGUCGGUAAGGUGAUAUGAACCGUUAUAACCGGCGAUUUCCGAAUGGGGAAACCCAGUGUGAUUCGUCACACUAUCAUUAACUGAAUCCAUAGGUUAAUGAGGCGAACCGGGGGAACUGAAACAUCUAAGUACCCCGAGGAAAAGAAAUCAACCGAGAUUCCCCCAGUAGCGGCGAGCGAACGGGGAGCAGCCCAGAGCCUGAAUCAGUGUGUGUGUUAGUGGAAGCGUCUGGAAAGGCGUGCGAUACAGGGUGACAGCCCCGUACACAAAAAUGCACAUACUGUGAGCUCGAUGAGUAGGGCGGGACACGUGGUAUCCUGUCUGAAUAUGGGGGGACCAUCCUCCAAGGCUAAAUACUCCUGACUGACCGAUAGUGAACCAGUACCGUGAGGGAAAGGCGAAAAGAACCCCGGCGAGGGGAGUGAAAAAGAACCUGAAACCGUGUACGUACAAGCAGUGGGAGCACGCUUAGGCGUGUGACUGCGUACCUUUUGUAUAAUGGGUCAGCGACUUAUAUUCUGUAGCAAGGUUAACCGAAUAGGGGAGCCGAAGGGAAACCGAGUCUUAACUGGGCGUUAAGUUGCAGGGUAUAGACCCGAAACCCGGUGAUCUAGCCAUGGGCAGGUUGAAGGUUGGGUAACACUAACUGGAGGACCGAACCGACUAAUGUUGAAAAAUUAGCGGAUGACUUGUGGCUGGGGGUGAAAGGCCAAUCAAACCGGGAGAUAGCUGGUUCUCCCCGAAAGCUAUUUAGGUAGCGCCUCGUGAAUUCAUCUCCGGGGGUAGAGCACUGUUUCGGCAAGGGGGUCAUCCCGACUUACCAACCCGAUGCAAACUGCGAAUACCGGAGAAUGUUAUCACGGGAGACACACGGCGGGUGCUAACGUCCGUCGUGAAGAGGGAAACAACCCAGACCGCCAGCUAAGGUCCCAAAGUCAUGGUUAAGUGGGAAACGAUGUGGGAAGGCCCAGACAGCCAGGAUGUUGGCUUAGAAGCAGCCAUCAUUUAAAGAAAGCGUAAUAGCUCACUGGUCGAGUCGGCCUGCGCGGAAGAUGUAACGGGGCUAAACCAUGCACCGAAGCUGCGGCAGCGACGCUUAUGCGUUGUUGGGUAGGGGAGCGUUCUGUAAGCCUGUGAAGGUGUGCUGUGAGGUAUGCUGGAGGUAUCAGAAGUGCGAAUGCUGACAUAAGUAACGAUAAAGCGGGUGAAAAGCCCGCUCGCCGGAAGACCAAGGGUUCCUGUCCAACGUUAAUCGGGGCAGGGUGAGUCGACCCCUAAGGCGAGGCCGAAAGGCGUAGUCGAUGGGAAACAGGUUAAUAUUCCUGUACUUGGUGUUACUGCGAAGGGGGGACGGAGAAGGCUAUGUUGGCCGGGCGACGGUUGUCCCGGUUUAAGCGUGUAGGCUGGUUUUCCAGGCAAAUCCGGAAAAUCAAGGCCGAGGCGUGAUGACGAGGCACUACGGUGCUGAAGCAACAAAUGCCCUGCUUCCAGGAAAAGCCUCUAAGCAUCAGGUAACAUCAAAUCGUACCCCAAACCGACACAGGUGGUCAGGUAGAGAAUACCAAGGCGCUUGAGAGAACUCGGGUGAAGGAACUAGGCAAAAUGGUGCCGUAACUUCGGGAGAAGGCACGCUGAUACGUAGGUGAAGCGACUUGCUCGUGGAGCUGAAAUCAGUCGAAGAUACCAGCUGGCUGCAACUGUUUAUUAAAAACACAGCACUGUGCAAACACGAAAGUGGACGUAUACGGUGUGACGCCUGCCCGGUGCCGGAAGGUUAAUUGAUGGGGUUAGCGCAAGCGAAGCUCUUGAUCGAAGCCCCGGUAAACGGCGGCCGUAACUAUAACGGUCCUAAGGUAGCGAAAUUCCUUGUCGGGUAAGUUCCGACCUGCACGAAUGGCGUAAUGAUGGCCAGGCUGUCUCCACCCGAGACUCAGUGAAAUUGAACUCGCUGUGAAGAUGCAGUGUACCCGCGGCAAGACGGAAAGACCCCGUGAACCUUUACUAUAGCUUGACACUGAACAUUGAGCCUUGAUGUGUAGGAUAGGUGGGAGGCUUUGAAGUGUGGACGCCAGUCUGCAUGGAGCCGAC